RNAcentral lists this long non-coding RNA (890 nucleotides) under Ovis aries (sheep). RNAcentral describes it as "lncRNA (ENSOARG00000025408.1)". Lineage: Eukaryota; Metazoa; Chordata; Mammalia; Artiodactyla; Bovidae. The record is from RNAcentral.
ACAGCUUUAAAAAAAAAAAAAAACAGAUAAGUAUUACAGAAGUAAAGACCGUACUACCGUUCCCUGUCUCCUUUCUGACACUCUGCCUCUCACCUAUACUGGAGCAGGGGUCCGACUGUGGGCAGUAGUGCAUGGGGGACUGGGGGUGGAGCGAGGGGAGAGUGUUUAGCUGCUCAAGAAAGGAUGAGAGAAUUCCCCGACAAAAAAAUAAAAAAUUGUCAAUACCCCUCCAAGAAGAUGCCAUCCCCUCUCCAUAACCAGAGAAAGGCAAAAUUCUAACACAGAGAGAACAGGCUACUUGUGGCUUCGGGACUAUAAAGACCAAAAAAAAAAAAAAAAGAGUGACAGGACCUGAUGGGGUAGGGUGAGGUGCUAGUGGGGUAAAGGAGGGGGCUCCUGCUCCUGGUGGGAGUGGAAAUUGGGGCCCCAAGCUUACUGGCGAUGCAGCCCUCACGUGACCAGGAGCUGACGUUAGCAAAGAUACUUAAAGCUCUGACCGCCGUCCUCCGUUCUCCUCUGGGUACCAACUCUAUUGCGCGGUGCACUGCCGUGCGUUUAACCCAGGCGCGGAGGAGGAGGAGAAAAUCCCCCCAGAUCCGGGCAGGCCCCGCACCCCACAUCCCAUCCCGUUUUGAGAGGAGGAGGGAAGAGAAAUAAACGUGGCAGCGCAUAUAAGGCCAGUGGGGAGGUUGGGGAAAGGGUGAUCCUAGGGGCACGCAAUUAGUAAACAAUCCGGCUUAUUCACUCCCACUCUCACUUUUCAGAUACCUCCUUCGACCACUGCCCCCACACCCUCUUCCCCGGCCGGCCCCCAGUCCUUUGGGGUGCUAGGAAAUGGGUGUGACAGCAUUUGUAGGGGAGAUGGCGGGUUGGCUCUGGGCUUUACAGGA